GGAGGAAAAGAAACUAACAAGGAUUCCCUUAGUAACUGCGAGUGAAGAGGGAAAAGCUCAAAUUUAAAAUCUGGCAGUAUUUUGCUGUCCGAGUUGUAACCUAGAGAAGUGUAACCUGUGCUGGACCGUGUAUAAGUUUCCUGGAAUGGAGCAUCACAGAGGGUGAGAAUCCCGUCUUUGACAUGGACUACCAGUGCAUUGUGGUUGUGCUCUCAACGAGUCGAGUUGUUUGGGAAUGCAGCUCUAAAUGGGUGGUAAAUUCCAUCUAAAGCUAAAUAUUGGCGAGAGACCGAUAGCGAACAAGUACCGUGAGGGAAAGAUGAAAAGAACUUUGGAAAGAGAGUUAAACAGUAUGUGAAAUUGUUGAAAGGGAAACGUUUGAAGUCAGUCGCGUUAGCUGGGGAUCAGCCUGACAUUGUUGGGUGCACUUCCUGGUUGACGGGCCAACAUCAGUUUUGACUGCCAGAAAAAGGCCAAGGGAAUGUGGCACCUUUGGGUGUGUUAUAGCCUUUGGUCAUAUAUGGUGGUUGGGACUGAGGAAUGCAGUGUGCCGAAAGGCCGGGUUUCGACCACGUUCACACUGAGGAUGUUGGCAUAAUGGCUUUAAGCGACCCGUCUUGAAACACGGACCAAGGAGUCUAACAUGCAUGCGAGUGUUUGGGUGGAAAACCCUUACGCGUAAUGAAAGUGAAAGUUGAGAUCCCUGUCGUGGGGAGCAUCGACGCCCGGACCAGAACUUUUGGGACGGAUCUGCGGUAGAGCACGUAUGUUGGGACCCGAAAGAUGGUGAACUAUGCCUGAAUAGGGUGAAGCCAGAGGAAACUCUGGUGGAGGCUCGUAGCGAUUCUGACGUGCAAAUCGAUCGUCAAAUUUGGGUAUAGGGGCGAAAGACUAAUCGAACCAUCUAGUAGCUGGUUCCUGCC
RNAcentral lists this ribosomal RNA (923 nucleotides) under Amanita spissacea. Its description in RNAcentral is "LSU rRNA". It matches the Rfam family "Eukaryotic large subunit ribosomal RNA", at positions 52 to 962 of the family's 3401-position model. Lineage: Eukaryota; Fungi; Basidiomycota; Agaricomycetes; Agaricales; Amanitaceae. The record is from RNAcentral.